RNAcentral lists this non-coding RNA (88 nucleotides) under Candidatus Desulfosporosinus infrequens. Its description in RNAcentral is "Glycine". It matches the Rfam family "Glycine riboswitch aptamer". From Rfam's summary of the family: This family represents the bacterial glycine riboswitch. Glycine riboswitches usually consist of two metabolite-binding aptamers domains with similar structures in tandem. The aptamers cooperatively bind glycine to regulate the expression of downstream genes. Lineage: Bacteria; Bacillati; Bacillota; Clostridia; Eubacteriales; Desulfitobacteriaceae. The record is from RNAcentral.
GUACUCUGGAGAGAUUCUCUAAAUAGAGAACACCAAAGGGGAAGCCGGAGACGGCGAAUCUCUCAGGUUCAAGGACAGAGAAGGUGCG